This 434-nucleotide ribosomal RNA is filed under the name uncultured Lachnospiraceae bacterium. Its description in RNAcentral is "partial 16S ribosomal RNA". It matches the Rfam family "Bacterial small subunit ribosomal RNA", at positions 341 to 792 of the family's 1533-position model. The record is from RNAcentral. Lineage: Bacteria; Bacillati; Bacillota; Clostridia; Lachnospirales; Lachnospiraceae.
ACGGAAGGCAGCAGUGGGGAAUAUUGGACAAUGGGGGAAACCCUGAUCCAGCGACGCCGCGUGAGUGAAGAAGUAUUUCGGUAUGUAAAGCUCUUUAAGCAGGAAAGAAAAUGACGGUACUUGAAGAAUAAGCCCCGGCUAACUACGUGCCAGCAGCCGCGGUAAUACGUAGGGGGCAAGCGUUAUCCGGAUUUACUGGGUGUAAAGGGAGCGUAGACGGCAAUGCAAGUCUGAAGUGAAAGCCCGUGGCUUAACUGCGGGACUGCUUUGGAAACUGCAUGGCUAGAGUGUCGGAGAGGUGAGUGGAAUUCCCAGUGUAGCGGUGAAAUGCGUAGAUAUUGGGAGGAACACCGGAGGCGAAGGCGGCUCACUGGACGAUCACUGACGUUGAGGCUCGAAAGCGUGGGGAGCAAACAGGAUUAGAUACCCUGGUA